This is a long non-coding RNA of Oncorhynchus tshawytscha (Chinook salmon), 1348 nucleotides long. RefSeq lists it as uncharacterized. The record is from RefSeq and is a predicted model, not a curated record. The transcript is spliced from 3 exons. NCBI's taxonomy places the organism in Eukaryota, Metazoa, Chordata, Actinopteri, Salmoniformes, Salmonidae.
CAGGGCGUGACAUAAUGACAGGCAGGAAUCAGCAGCUUGUAUUGUAUAUGUAGUACAUGCUGCACUAGACUCAGGUCAGGGCGUGACAUAAUGACAGGCAGGAAUCAGCAGCUUGUAUUGUAUAUGUAGUACAUGCUGCACUAGACUCAGGUCAGGGCGUGACAUAAUGACAGGCAGGAAUCAGCAGCUUGUAUUGUAUAUGUAGUACAUGCUGCACUAGACUCAGGUCAGGGCGUGACAUAAUGACAGGCAGGAAUCAGCAGCUUGUAUUGUAUAUGUAGUACAUGCUGCACUAGACUCAGGUCAGGGCGUGACAUAAUGACAGGCAGGAAUCAGCAGCUUGUAUUGUAUAUGUAGUACAUGCUGCACUAGACUCAGGUCAGGGCGUGACAUAAUGACAGGCAGGAAUCAGCAGCUUGUAUUGUAUAUGUAGUACAUGCUGCACUAGACUCAGGUCAGGGCGUGACAUAAUGACAGGCAGGAAUCAGCAGCUUGUAUUGUAUAUGUAGUACAUGCUGCACUAGACUCAGGUCAGGGCGUGACAUAAUGACAGGCAGGAAUCAGCAGCUUGUAUUGUAUAUGUAGUACAUGCUGCACUAGACUCAGGUCAGGGCGUGACAUAAUGACAGGCAGGAAUCAGCAGCUUGUAUUGUAUAUGUAGUACAUGCUGCACUAGACUCAGGUCAGGGCGUGACAUAAUGACAGGCAGGAAUCAGCAGCUUGUAUUGUAUAUGUAGUACAUGCUGCACUAGACUCAGGUCAGGGCGUGACAUAAUGACAGGCAGGAAUCAGCAGCUUGUAUUGUAUAUGUAGUACAUGCUGCACUAGACUCAGGUCAGGGCGUGACAUAAUGACAGGCAGGAAUCAGCAGCUUGUAUUGUAUAUGUAGUACAUGCUGCACUAGACUCAGGUCAGGGCGUGACAUAAUGACAGGCAGGAAUCAGCAGCUUGUAUUGUAUAUGUAGUACAUGCUGCACUAGACUCAGGUCAGGGCGUGACAUAAUGACAGGCAGGAAUCAGCAGCUUGUAUUGUAUAUGUAGUACAUGCUGCACUAGACUCAGGUCAGGGCGUGACAUAAUGACAGGCAGGAAUCAGCAGCUUGUAUUGUAUAUGUAGUACAUGCUGCACUAGACUCAGGUCAGGGCGUGACAUAAUGACAGGCAGGAAUCAGCAGCUUGUAUUGUAUAUGUAGUACAUGCUGCACUAGACUCAGGUCAGGGCGUGACAUAAUGACAGGCAGGAAUCAGCAGCUUGUAUUGUAUAUGUAGUACAUGCUGCACUAGACUCAGGUCAGGGCGUGACAUAAUGACAGGCAGGAAUCAGCAGCUUGUAUUGUAUAUGUAGUAC